Molecule: ribosomal RNA, 492 nt
Filed under: uncultured bacterium
Lineage: Bacteria
Description: partial 16S ribosomal RNA
Rfam family: Bacterial small subunit ribosomal RNA
Source: RNAcentral
AGUGAACGCUGGCGGUAGGCCUAACACAUGCAAGUCGAACGGCAGCACAGUAAGAGCUUGCUCUUACGGGUGGCGAGUGGCGGACGGGUGAGGAAUACAUCGGAAUCUACCUUUUCGUGGGGGAUAACGUAGGGAAACUUACGCUAAUACCGCAUACGACCUACGGGUGAAAGCAGGGGAUCUUCGGACCUUGCGCGAUUGAAUGAGCCGAUGUCGGAUUAGCUAGUUGGCGGGGUAAAGGCCCACCAAGGCGACGAUCCGUAGCUGGUCUGAGAGGAUGAUCAGCCACACUGGAACUGAGACGCGGUCCAGACUCCUACGGGAGGCAGCAGUGGGGAAUAUUGGACAAUGGGCGCAAGCCUGAUCCAGCCAUACCGCGUGGGUGAAGAAGGCCUUCGGGUUGUAAAGCCCUUUUGUUGGGAAAGAAAAGCAGCAGGUUAAUACCCCGCUGUUCUGACGGUACCCAAAGAAUAAGCACCGGCUAACUUCGUG